RNAcentral lists this ribosomal RNA (267 nucleotides) under Serratia marcescens. Its description in RNAcentral is "partial 16S ribosomal RNA". It matches the Rfam family "Bacterial small subunit ribosomal RNA", at positions 330 to 589 of the family's 1533-position model. Lineage: Bacteria; Pseudomonadati; Pseudomonadota; Gammaproteobacteria; Enterobacterales; Yersiniaceae. The record is from RNAcentral.
UCCAGACUCCUACGGGAGGCAGCAGUGGGGAAUAUUGCACAAUGGGCGCAAGCCUGAUGCAGCCAUGCCGCGUGUGUGAAGAAGGCCUUCGGGUUGUAAAGCACUUUCAGCGAGGAGGAAGGUGGUGAGCUUAAUACGCUCAUCAAUUGACGUUACUCGCAGAAGAAGCACCGGCUAACUCCGUGCCAGCAGCCGCGGUAAUACGGAGGGUGCAAGCGUUAAUCGGAAUUACUGGGCGUAAAGCGCACGCAGGCGGUUUGUUAAGUC